AGCAGUCGCCGCGGGAAAACGGAGGGUGCAAGCGUUAUCCGGAUUCACUGGGUUUAAAGGGUGCGUAGGCGGAUCUGUAAGUCAGUGGUGAAAUCUCCAGGCUUAACCUGGAAACUGCCGUUGAUACUAUAGGUCUUGAAUUUUGUGGAGGUUAGCGGAAUAUGUCAUGUAGCGGUGAAAUGCAUAGAUAUGACAUAGAACACCAAUUGCGAAGGCAGCUGGCUACACAACUAUUGACGCUGAGGCACGAAAGCGUGGGGAUCAAACAGGAUUAGAUACCCCCGUAGUCCCUGUCUCUUAUAC
Molecule: ribosomal RNA, 303 nt
Filed under: uncultured bacterium
Lineage: Bacteria
Description: partial 16S ribosomal RNA
Rfam family: Bacterial small subunit ribosomal RNA
Source: RNAcentral